UACGUAGGGGGCUAGCGUUGUCCGGAAUCAUUGGGCGUAAAGGGCUCGUAGGCGGCCAACUAAGUCGGACGUGAAAUCCCCAGGCUCAACCUGGGAACUGCGUCCGAUACUGGAUGGCUUGAAUUCGGGAGAGGGAUGCGGAAUUCCAGGUGUAGCGGUGAAAUGCGUAGAUAUCUGGAGGAACACCGGUGGCGAAGGCGGCAUCCUGGACCAACACUGACGCUGAGGAGCGAAAGCCAGGGGAGCAAACGGG
This 253-nucleotide ribosomal RNA is filed under the name uncultured bacterium. Its description in RNAcentral is "partial 16S ribosomal RNA". It matches the Rfam family "Bacterial small subunit ribosomal RNA", at positions 524 to 776 of the family's 1533-position model. The record is from RNAcentral.